Molecule: long non-coding RNA, 805 nt
Filed under: Homo sapiens (human)
Lineage: Eukaryota; Metazoa; Chordata; Mammalia; Primates; Hominidae
Description: HSALNT0372644
Source: RNAcentral
CCUCUGCAAAUUGUGUAAUCAUCAAAAUGAAUGCUUUAGCAAAUCUCUUUGUUUCCUUUUCUACCACCCCAUGCAUGUUGUAACAUGAUUUCUGAUUUUGUGACCUGGAGCUGAUUUUUUUUUUUUUUGAAACCACGAAGAUCUGUUUGGCAUUAUCCACGUGAGUAUCCGCCCUGCUGAAGAGCCCUCCACUCUAUUCCCAGCACUCCAGUUUGAUGGAAGAGCCUUUCAACCUUCCCACGUCAGAAUGCAUUCUGAUGUCAGACUUGUUCUUAUCAUGAUGAAGACCAUAGUCUUACUUAUUCUAGAAAAGUAUUUGGUUACAUGCUAACAAACCUACAAUAAAAAUCAGGAAGAAUACUUAUAGCCUAUGUUACUGGACUAUUUUCUACGUAAGAAUUAGAUAAACUCUAAAAUCUCACUAAGUUCACUAUCACUAACACUGAUGCAGGAUUUUUCUUCUUGGUCAUUUUGCAAGCCGGGGACCCCCGGCCAGUGACACUCCACCCGGGCCUCGCUCGGCCACGCUGGCAUGCCCCAGCUCACCUAUGUUAUAGCUUGUACCUGCAUUCGGUGGUUCCCGAGCUCUGGUACUGCACCCAAGAAGAAUAAGGAUACGCUGGGCAUUGAAGUGGAACCAAGGGCGGGUAAUAUCAGAAGAAAAUCGUGCGAUGAAAAUGAAGAUCAGAAGCGCAUACUGAACAAGCAACUGACUUUGUUAAUCUCUUGAAAAAUAGCAUCAAGGGGGAUGUUUUUAAAUUAAAGAAGAAUGAUUUUGCUUUUCAUUCAUUGUUGUUUUUCUUCC